AGGGUUCGAUUCUGGCUCAGGAUGAACGCUAGCUACAGGCUUAACACAUGCAAGUCGAGGGGCAGCAUUGGAGUAGCAAUACUCAGAUGGCGACCGGCGCACGGGUGAGUAACACGUAUCCAACCUGCCGCUUACUCGGGGAUAGCCUUUCGAAAGAAAGAUUAAUACCCGAUGGUAUAAAGAGUUCGCAUGUUCUCUUUAUUAAAGAAUUUCGGUAAGCGAUGGGGAUGCGUUCCAUCAGAUAGUUGGCGGGGUAACGGCCCACCAAGUCUACGAUGGAUAGGGGUUCUGAGAGGAAGGUCCCCCACAUUGGAACUGAGACACGGUCCAAACUCCUACGGGAGGCAGCAGUGAGGAAUAUUGGUCAAUGGACGAGAGUCUGAACCAGCCAAAAGUAGCGUGAAGGAUGACUGCCCUAUGGGUUGUAAACUUCUUUUAUAAGGGAAUAAAGUGAGGGACGUGUCCCUUUUUGUAUGUACCUUAUGAAUAAGGAUCGGCUAACUCCGUGCCAGCCGCCGC
This 519-nucleotide ribosomal RNA is filed under the name uncultured bacterium. RNAcentral describes it as "bacterial SSU rRNA". It matches the Rfam family "Bacterial small subunit ribosomal RNA", at positions 8 to 518 of the family's 1533-position model. The record is from RNAcentral.